GACGAACGCUGGCGGCGUGCUUAACACAUGCAAGUCGAGCGGUAAGGCCCUUUCGGGGGUACACGAGCGGCGAACGGGUGAGUAACACGUGGGUGACCUGCCUUUAGCUCUGGGAUAAGCCUGGGAAACUGGGUCUAAUACCGGAUACGACUCCGCGGUGCAUGCUGUGGGGUGGAAAGCCUUGUGCGGCUGGAGAUGGGCCCGCGGCCUAUCAGCUUGUUGGUGGGGUGAUGGCCUACCAAGGCGACGACGGGUAGCCGGCCUGAGAGGGCGACCGGCCACACUGGGACUGAGACACGGCCCAGACUCCUACGGGAGGCAGCAGUGGGGAAUCUUGCGCAAUGGGCGAAAGCCUGACGCAGCGACGCCGCGUGAGGGAUGACGGCCUUCGG
RNAcentral lists this ribosomal RNA (392 nucleotides) under uncultured bacterium. RNAcentral describes it as "bacterial SSU rRNA". It matches the Rfam family "Bacterial small subunit ribosomal RNA", at positions 28 to 421 of the family's 1533-position model. The record is from RNAcentral.